RNAcentral lists this ribosomal RNA (387 nucleotides) under uncultured bacterium. Its description in RNAcentral is "bacterial SSU rRNA". It matches the Rfam family "Bacterial small subunit ribosomal RNA", at positions 28 to 417 of the family's 1533-position model. The record is from RNAcentral.
GACGAACGCUGGCGGCGUGCUUAACACAUGCAAGUCGAGCGGUAAGGCCCUUUCGGGGGUACACGAGCAGCGAACGGGUGAGUAACACGUGGGUGACCUGCCCUUAGCUCUGGGAUAAGCCUGGGAAACUGGGUCUAAUACCGGAUAUGACUCCAUGACGCAUGUUGUGGGGUGGAAAGCCUUGUGCGGCUAGGGAUGGGCCCGCGGCCUAUCAGCUUGUUGGUGGGGUGAUGGCCACCAAGGCGACGACGGGUAGCCGGCCUGAGAGGGCGACCGGCCACACUGGGACUGAGACACGGCCCAGACUCCUACGGGAGGCAGCAGUGGGGAAUCUUGCGCAAUGGGCGAAAGCCUGACGCAGCGGCGCCGCGUGAGGGAUGACGGCCU